GAUGAACGCUGGCGGCGUGCCUAAUACAUGCAAGUCGAGCGAACAGACGAGGAGCUUGCUCCUCUGACGUUAGCGGCGGACGGGUGAGUAACACGUGGAUAACCUACCUAUAAGACUGGGAUAACUUCGGGAAACCGGAGCUAAUACCGGAUAAUAUAUUGAACCGCAUGGUUCAAUAGUGAAAGACGGUUUUGCUGUCACUUAUAGAUGGAUCCGCGCCGCAUUAGCUAGUUGGUAAGGUAACGGCUUACCAAGGCAACGAUGCGUAGCCGACCUGAGAGGGUGAUCGGCCACACUGGAACUGAGACACGGUCCAGACUCCUACGGGAGGCAGCAGUAGGGAAUCUUCCGCAAUGGGCGAAAGCCUGACGGAGCAACGCCGCGUGAGUGAUGAAGGUCUUCGGAUCGUAAAACUCUGUUAUUAGGGAAGAACAAAUGUGUAAGUAACUAGGCACGUCUUGACGGUACCUAAUCAAAAAGCCACGGCUAACUACG
RNAcentral lists this ribosomal RNA (495 nucleotides) under uncultured bacterium. RNAcentral describes it as "partial 16S ribosomal RNA". It matches the Rfam family "Bacterial small subunit ribosomal RNA", at positions 28 to 505 of the family's 1533-position model. The record is from RNAcentral.